CUUCACAAGAGCAGAGAGAAACCUGUCUGCGGAAUCUUAUAUGUUUAAUAUUUCAAGGAGCAUUCAGAGGUUUCCAGAGCAUUUCUCUAAGCAUCUGACUCUACAGCUGACUGUACUCAGGUGUCCAUUGAAGAUGAAGCAGGUUUUGAACAAAUGUGUCUCGGGGACUGUUUGUUAG
RNAcentral lists this long non-coding RNA (178 nucleotides) under Anas platyrhynchos platyrhynchos (common mallard). RNAcentral's name for it is "lncRNA (ENSAPLG00000028502.1)". The record is from RNAcentral. Lineage: Eukaryota; Metazoa; Chordata; Aves; Anseriformes; Anatidae.